CUUGCACAGAAGGAAAGAAGUCCUGCAUACACAAGGCUACAGCAAAGUGGCAUCUGUUUGAAAAACUGCCAGACAUGUUUAAAACAGCCCAAAGUCCAGAGAAGGAUGUUAUUUGUGGAAAAGCUGUUCCAAAAUGCCAAGAGGAGACUGCAUCAAUCUCAGAUCCAGCAGCUGAAAGGAUGAUCAAGUAUUUGAUUGCUCACAAGAAAAUGCCUUCCGAUCUUCCGAAAACACUGAUCACCAGCAGCAGAGACGCCAAGACUCUCAUGGAUUCCCCACACAUCUCAUUCCAUCUGAGACUGCAUGCACACAAUGUGGACAGAACACUCUUCUUGGUCCUCAGCUGAUAACUGCAACUGCUACAAUAGUGACUCAUGAUGGUGCAGUUAAAGGUACAUCGACAUACAGGAAAGUUUGCCCCAACUGUGACAUGGUGUAGCUAUCAAGACUGGCAAGACGGCGUCCACAACUGUGAUGAUCAUUUGCUACUGUCAAAACAUUUUUGCCUUGUGUUGAGGAGUGCACUGCAGACUUAUACUGCUGUCAGCCGUGUCUUUGAAAUCUUUGAACACACAGAAGGGGAGAGCUUUCCUAACAAGGAUCGGAUUCUACAUGCAUAUCUAUUAUUUGAGGGUCGAAGUGAUCAUGACUACCUGUAUGCAUGUGUUUCAUGUGGGUACCAUCCACACAGUAAAAAAUCCUGUGUCAAUUUAACUCUGAGUUGAAUUUAACUCCGUGUCAGAUAACAUUUGGUCCCACUCGAAAAUAGAGUAAAAUUAACUCUUUUAUCAGUGUUACAUUUUCAGUGUUAAUUUCACUCAAAUUUGUGUUAAAAUUAACACUGCAAUGCGUUAAAAUAAUUAACACUGUGGUUU
Non-coding RNA from Nothobranchius furzeri (turquoise killifish), 875 nucleotides. The record is from RefSeq and is a predicted model, not a curated record. Lineage: Eukaryota; Metazoa; Chordata; Actinopteri; Cyprinodontiformes; Nothobranchiidae.